This 3287-nucleotide ribosomal RNA is filed under the name Triticum aestivum (bread wheat). RNAcentral's name for it is "partial small subunit ribosomal RNA". The record is from RNAcentral. Lineage: Eukaryota; Viridiplantae; Streptophyta; Magnoliopsida; Poales; Poaceae.
GCGCCGCUGUGGGAGCGCGAUCCCAAUCGCGGCCGCUGCCGGUGGCGGUGAGGCGGUGGGCGGGGAUAGGGCCGGCAGACGAGGAGGGGGCCUGCGGGGAGAGGAUAAGUGCGCGCGCAGAUCCCAUGGUCGUACCUCCCGCUCUACUGGUCGGCGUCGCCGGUGGAGAGCGGCCGUCGCCCAGGCGACCUCCUACUGUUGGACGAGGCGCUCUAGGAGGAGGCGGAGGGGGGCGUCGGCAGGAGGGAGGGCGCGCGGAGGCGACAGACGUUCGCGACCGCGACGGAGCGGAGGCUGGGGGCGAAGACGGCGGCGAAGGCGGCGGUGGUGGCGGUUUUGGGAGGGGAGGAACCGAAGAAGUUGUCUCUGUCGCUGGAGAAGGGGAAGCAUGGAUGAGAACUCGGGGGUUUAGCACAGAGCGGACCGGCGAAGAGGAACGUCGCGGCGCUUCCGCUGGCGAAGUAGAGGGAACCUACGGCGGUACCGGAGCACGAGUAGGUGUUGCGUACCGGCUUGUUCCAGGACCACACCCUGGGGCAGUGGCCGUUUGUCGUGGUGGAACGGUAGGGGGGACUCGAACACUAUGUACGCCUCUUGUGUCGGUAGUUACCCCGUCACGAAGCACGACGGCCUCUGUAGGUUGUCAAAGUACACCAGAACUGUCACCACCUGUUGCAGCUGUUCGUUUUCGUUGUGUUUGCUCGCGAGCGGACCGAAAUGAGAAGGCUCUGGUUGAAUACCCCACUAGAGCAGAGUUGUGGCCAAGGUAAGUUCCAAAGGUGGAGCCUAUAAAACCCACUACUUCUACUACAGUGGAACCACAAAUGCCCUUUCGGGCGACACUACCAAUCCCUAAGAGAAAUGACCUAAGAACGACCCUUAAAACAACCUUAAGAACUCAAACUAAACCUCUUCGUUUCGGAUCGACACUAUGCCCACGGUCGCGUAUACGAACUUUUACCCAAAAUGGUCAAGACCUAAUACGCCCGUCUCCCACCACCAGGACCAAAUGACAACGUCUUUCUAGUCUCGAAGGUCAAUACCUUCUCCUUCUGACUAGCACUACCACAACGAAGUACCCAAGAACCUUCUUGAUAACUAGACCUGUUCGAUGAAAGGGACUUACCUUUACCGUCGGUUCAGUAUGAUCCCAAGCGACUCCUCUUAUUACACCACAAACACACCUGUGUGCCACAGGAGAAAUACCAGUUAGAACUCAGAAACGUCAAGUUCUUUGAACCACUCUGGUCUUGGGAAAGAGUGAUAGUAGGUAAGCUUUCACAGAUGUGACGUCUUUGUUUGUAACCACCACCUGUACCAGUUCAACUAGAAAGUGUCGUGUAUUCUACUAAUAGAUCAAUCCAUACGAUGACACUACAUGAACAACUCGUCCAUUCGAAGACGUAGAUACAACUCCAUAGACUUGACAAGAAAUUUUUUUUAACGAAAGGAUAAAUGACGGUAAAGAGUUGAUGGUUUACCGUUCUCUCCUGAGAAAUUCUAAAAGAUAUGUUGAGAAACGAAUCGAUAACGGGUGGACCGGUGAGUAUAGUUACGAAAGGACCGUCCGACGUAGAAUCUAGAAAAGAGGUCCGGGACGAGGAGUGGGAGAAGUACGGAAGUAGUCGACAAGAGGUAAACGAAGGAGUACGGUAACGGGUGGAUGGAAGAGAUAAUAAACAACGAUGGUGGAGUGAUAACCUACUCCUUGGAAAGAACAGGUAGGUCGACGGAACGAAAGUAAAUGAAGGAGGAACCAUGAGGGGACCAAGGAUGACAAUCACGUUAAAGAAGAGGAGAUCAAGGAACCUACAGACUACUGACUCCUGGUAAGAGGAAAAACACGUAUAAAAUUCACCAUUGUAUUACUUUACGUAGGAGAAAACACAAGCAUUAAGUAAAAAAAUGAGCGGAAACUCAUCAAAAAGUACCGAUAUCUAGAUAGUUCAGGAUCACACUAAAUAUACAUCAACCAUUGACUGUUAUGGACUUGUGAACGAAGUAAGAAAGAAACAAUGUGUCUUAAUAUUGAUACGGUAAACUGUAAAGUGUAAUGACAAAUAAAACCUAGCAAUACGAUGGGCCACUUGAUAAAUAACAGUCCUCUGAGCUUCUCGUACGAAAGUAAUUAAAAAUUUCAUGUAAAAAAUAGGAAAAGGAAAGUCAAAAGAACCUACUAAUAAGAUCACAACCCGCCAAACGCAUUUAUAAAAGAGUCGUACAUACUAUGGAGAGUCAAAUUGUAUUAAACAGACCAAGUUUAAUAUACGUAGAUACGUAACACUCGUCAGAUACAAGAAGUGAGAACCAGUACAAUCUACAAAUUGUGAAUUAUAAUUUGUGUACUAGUUUUACCGUACGGAUCUAAGCGGUAUUUAUGAUCAAAGCAGUACUUAUAAAAAAAAUCACAAGCCCCAUAACUAAAACUACGACACCUCUAUCGUAGACAAAACCCGGCUACCUUCACACAGGUAAUUAUUCUACUACGUACUAGGGAACACCGAAGAUGACGUACUAAAGUUAUUUUAAGUUAAACAAUCGCUAAUCGAUCGAGCACUUGUCCCCACACACCUUCAAUCGAUAGAUGCACGGUCUUGGUGCUCAACCAAAGUCGAGAUCGGAUGGGGUUGAAUAAACACUGAUUGAUGACAUUCUCAUCUUCCACAUCGUCAUGUUUACUUCACGAUAGGACAUCGAAAAGAGAAAAAGGGUGCAACCAAAACAGGUUGUUACGGCUCUACUAAGUCAAAACCUCGAAAGCCGUGUUGUGACCACUUUCAAUUGAGAAUGACAACAAACACAGUAUGGUUUAACUCUCGAUACCGAAAUUACUGAAAAGGCGAUUAUUUAACAUAUAUGUUUAAUCAAACCGACUGCUUUAAGAAACGAGGUGUCCAUAGAUCCUAAUGCAAGGCCACCGACACUACGUCUUUACCCAACACGGGAACAUUACCAGUUGAAACAUUACUCAAGCAGGUAAAACCCGCGACACGAGUUGGGUCUUUAACCGGGAGACACUGAGCAUCCUGAAGUAGCUAAUUAAACAACGCUUAAAUGACAAAGGAUAGGUCAAGUACUUCUGGUACAGUCAAUUAGAAACUGAGUAAACGAGGAAGGUUCGUUCCGUUCGUUCAGUUGUGGACAGUCGACAGAUCAUGACAUGCAUCAUGAACGCACGCACGUCGUAAACGAAGCUUAGAGACGAAUACAAAACAGUCCAACUCUAAAGUUGAGACUUAGAGACGGAUACAAGACAGGGUACUACCUACAAGGGAAAAGAUAAACCA